Esox lucius (northern pike) is the source of this 1506-nucleotide long non-coding RNA. The record is from Ensembl. NCBI's taxonomy places the organism in Eukaryota, Metazoa, Chordata, Actinopteri, Esociformes, Esocidae.
GUUUCGGAUUGCACAUUUCUACUGCAAAUUUAAAUGUAUUAGAAGAGGUAUACUUUUUGACUAAGGAAGCAAAGACUUUGUGGCGGCAUCGAGAUGGCGUCUCACCCCGCGGCCGCGGAGGUGUUGGCGUCACCUGUGUUGCUCCGUCAUGGCUUCAGGUGUGUGCCUGCACAAGGCGUGACGGUGGAGGACGUUUUACUGGUGGUUGGAGAAAUAAUCGGAUUUGAAAAUAUUUCUUCGGCGUCGAGGAUGAAUAAGGCGUUAGUGGUGUUUGUGAAGGAGGAAGGAAGGACUGGCAAAUCGAUUGAUAGGCGAUGGAAUUGUGGAUGGUGUCAUGGACCACUAACUCGAUGCAUGGAGACGAUUUGGGAACAAUGAUGAAACCACCUGCAACCAUUUCCUUCGGCACUUUCUGGGUUCCAGAACCUGAUUCAUGAACGUUUCUUUGGGGGAGGUGGCGGAAGGCCUGACAUUGUUAUGUCUGGAACACAUCAACGGUGAGACAGAACAGCAACAGAUCUGAUGCACAGAGUGGCUCACUACAAAAGAAGAUGGGUCUGAGUUUCUGUUAAAGUAUUUACAACAGCUUCCUAUGUAAUUCCUCAAAGGUAUCACAGUAAAUCAUUAUUAUUGAAACAAAAUAAAAACCAUAUCCUUGACCAGAGGCAUUGUUAGGAUCACAAUACAUUCAGGGCUUAGCACCCACCCAACCCCCGGGGGACACUUCUUUGCCACACAUUUUUCAUGGAUUUGUUGUGAUGUCGUGUGUUGUUCUAACCACCCUCUUACUGGUUUUUAAUAUGAGGCCUACAUUCGUUUGUGACAUCUCUCUGGAACCUGAAAUAUUCCCAAACAACAGGAGAUGAUUAAUUUUCAGCACCAAGUCAUCCCUAGUCUCUAUCUCAUUGUCCUCUGGGUUCAUUUUCUUAAUUGAUCUUCUUCCUCUCCUUUACAGCAAGCCCUACUCCGCAUUAUUCUUUCGCAGUGCGCUCUACGCCGCAUCUUCAUGUUUCUUAAUUUGAUGUUCAGUGUACCAGCGCAGUUAGUACCUUUCCCCGACCCACGCAUGUUGUUACUUUAUUGGGUUGUGGAUAUUUCGUUAAUUAUUGAGCCAUCACGGAAUUGGGAUGUUUUAAAAAAAACUCACGUUAACUCACUUUUAAUAAAUUGGAAUGAGUGAGACAUGAACAGAACAAUGUGUUGUAUAGUUUGAUAGACUGAUUUGAGACAUACAGCUGGACAUUUGAAUUGUAAAUCUUUAUUGUCUUAAAAUAGCAAAAGGUAGGUGAAGACGUGUUGUAAAAGCACUUGAAGAUAGAUUGGGUACUGUAGACUGACAUGAUCUUUUCAUUCGCUUGCCAGACUCCAACCUUUAUACUAAGAAAAUGGAAUCACAAUUUGAACAUGUGCGCAGAAAGCUGCAAUUCUGGCUUUUUAUUUUUAUGCUCAAUCAGAAUGAUCAUUUUUACUGGUGCAAUAUCAGAUUUGUAUACAAUUUAUUAGGAG